This is a non-coding RNA of Arachis ipaensis, 1848 nucleotides long. Lineage: Eukaryota; Viridiplantae; Streptophyta; Magnoliopsida; Fabales; Fabaceae. The record is from RefSeq and is a predicted model, not a curated record.
UAUUUGAAUGACAAAGGGGCCAAGCCCAAUGCCAAGGUGGUUGGGAAGGAAGCCUCGACACCGCUUGGGAGUUCCAAGAUUGUGACCACUCCCACUCCUAAAUCGAAGAACCCUGAAGUUGAAGUCAUGGAAAGUGUUGUCACAGAGUACAUGUGUCAGUUUACUCGUGAACAAUAUGAGGGUUUCAUGGCCACGAAGAAUGCGAAUUCAAAUCUUGAAGCCUAUGCUAUUCGUAACAAUCCAAUGAUAAUCCCUAGUUCGAACCAAUCUUCACCUCUCUUCCAAGAUGUAGGACACGAUUCGGGGGCAAAUUUAGGAAGACCGCCUGAUGUUUUGAUGAAGGAGUCUAUAAUUGGCAGAUCGACGAACAGGGGAUCCUGCAACAUUGAAUGCUGAUGCAAAUGCCGUUGUCCUGGCAUAGCUAUCGCCCGUGGUGGUUCUCCCAUUGUUUCCUUGACAAUGAUGAAUAUUAUAAGCUAGAAUUGCAGGGGUGCAGGAGAAUCACAUCAGUGGUCCAAGGGGAGAAGCUGUUAAAAACAAAACCGGAUUUGACAGUUCUUUCAUGGUGGAGGCGAAUGGCCACUCGGGGGAUAUUUGGUGCCUGUGGGACUCUUCUACCUAGAAGGUGAAUGUUCUAGAGCAUAAUAGACAGAUUAUCCACCUCAUGAUUUCUGGCUUGUUGACCUGGGUUAUGUAUGCUGGCCCUACACUUGGAGAAGAGGGAACCUUGUUGAAAGAUUGGAUAGGGAUUUGAGUAAUCUGGAAUGGCAGCUGACUUUUUCAGAAGCUACUUUGAAGCACCUGCCCAUGUUUAAAUCCGAUCAUGUGCCUCUAUGUCUUCAACUUUCUACUAUUGGUUCUUACAAUAGACAAAGAAGACCUUUCUGUUUUGUGGCUAUGUGGCUAUCAUAUCCAGACUUAAAAAACAUGGUCAAUAACUCCUGGGACAUGAAUAAUUCUUGGUCUGAAGGCAGUAAUAAUUUUAAUAAUUCUUUGAAGACCUGAAACUCUAAUGUGUUUGGGGAUAUUUUCAAGAAAAAGAAGAUUCUUCUUAGAAGAAUGCAGGGCAUUUGCGUCUAGCCUUGCUCAGGGUCAAUAAUUUUUUGAAAAAUCUUCAAAUUGAACUUUGGAGAGAAUACGAAAGUGUGCUUGCUCAAGAGGAGUUGUUGUGGUACCAAAAGUCAAGGUGCAAGUGGAUCGAAUUUGGAGACUGCAAUACAAAGUAUUUUCAUGGAUCCACCAUGAUCAGAAGAAGGAAAAAGAAGAUGAACUCGCUCCUUAAUUCUAAUGGAUAUCUUAUUACUGAUAAAAAUAUUUUAGAAAAUAUGGCCCAUUCUUUCUUUGUUGAUUUAUACCAUGAUGCUUUACCUGAUGUUCCGUUUGUUCUAAAUAAUGCUUUCCCUUACCUAAGUGCAGAAGAUUAUAAUUUUAUUAGCAGGAAUAUGUUGGAUUGAGAGAUCCAAGAAGCUGUUUUUAAUCUGGAUAGCUUUAAAGCUCCUGGAAAAGAUGGGCUGCAAGCGGCCUUCUUUCAAAAUCAAUGGGAGACAGUGGGGCUGAUCUUUGCACUCUUGCUCAACAGAUUAUUGUGAAUCCAGAAAAGAUUGAGGAGUUGAAUGAAAUUCUGAUAACCCUUAUUCCUAAGACGAAUCCGGUCACAAGCCUCAGCCAAAUGCGCCCGAUAAGCCUCUGUAAUGCCACUUACAACGUCAUCACUAAAAUUCUGGCAAAUUGUACAAGGAGUCUUAUGGAUAAGCUAGUUGCGCCGACCCAAUGUAGUUUCAUUCCUGGAAGACAAAGUACUAAUAAUAUCAUUAUUUUUCAAGAAAUUAUUCACUCCAUGAGAAAUAA